RNAcentral lists this ribosomal RNA (443 nucleotides) under Alcaligenes faecalis. RNAcentral's name for it is "bacterial SSU rRNA". It matches the Rfam family "Bacterial small subunit ribosomal RNA", at positions 22 to 461 of the family's 1533-position model. The record is from RNAcentral. Lineage: Bacteria; Pseudomonadati; Pseudomonadota; Betaproteobacteria; Burkholderiales; Alcaligenaceae.
GCUCAGAUUGAACGCUAGCGGGAUGCUUUACACAUGCAAGUCGAACGGCAGCACGAGAGAGCUUGCUCUCUUGGUGGCGAGUGGCGGACGGGUGAGUAAUAUAUCGGAACGUGCCCAGUAGCGGGGGAUAACUACUCGAAAGAGUGGCUAAUACCGCAUACGCCCUACGGGGGAAAGGGGGGGAUCGCAAGACCUCUCACUAUUGGAGCGGCCGAUAUCGGAUUAGCUAGUUGGUGGGGUAAAGGCUCACCAAGGCAACGAUCCGUAGCUGGUUUGAGAGGACGACCAGCCACACUGGGACUGAGACACGGCCCAGACUCCUACGGGAGGCAGCAGUGGGGAAUUUUGGACAAUGGGGGAAACCCUGAUCCAGCCAUCCCGCGUGUAUGAUGAAGGCCUUCGGGUUGUAAAGUACUUUUGGCAGAGAAGAAAAGGCAUCCCCU